RNAcentral lists this ribosomal RNA (387 nucleotides) under Chrysamoeba tenera. RNAcentral describes it as "partial small subunit ribosomal RNA". It matches the Rfam family "Eukaryotic small subunit ribosomal RNA", at positions 30 to 427 of the family's 1831-position model. The record is from RNAcentral. Lineage: Eukaryota; Chrysophyceae; Chromulinales; Chrysoamoebidaceae.
GCUUGUCUCAAAGAUUAAGCCAUGCAUGUCUAAGUAUAAGCACUUAUACCGUGAAACUGCGAAUGGCUCAUUAUAUCAGUUAUAGUCUACUCGAUAGUACCUUACUACUUGGAUAACCGUAGUAAUUCUAGAGCUAAUACAUGCAUCAAACCCCGACUCACGAAGGGGUGUAUUUAUUAGAUGGAAACCAAUGCGGGGCAACCCGGAUUAUGGUGAUUCAUAAUAACUUUCAGAUCGAUCGCAAGAUCGAUGCAUCAUUCAAGUUUCUGCCCUAUCAGCUUUGGAUGGUAGGGUAUUGGCCUACCAUGGCUUUAACGGGUAACGGAGAAUUAGGGUUCGAUUCCGGAGAGGGAGCCUGAGAAAUGGCUACCACAUCCAAGGAAGGCA